AUGCAAGGGUGGUCGGAGAGAUUGUUUGCUUGUGCAGGGCGAGAAACUUUGAUCAAAUCAAUUGCCCAGGCGAUUCCCACUUUCAGCAUGAGUUGUUUUCUCCUGACCAAGAAGGUGUGCAAGAGUUUGACAUCCAAUAUGGCAAGAUACUGGUGGAGUAGUUCGAUCGAUAACCGUUCUCUGCACUGGAUGUCUUGGAAGAAACUUGCAUCACCUAAGUGUAGUGGAGGUAUGGGUUUUCGAGACCUACAUCUUUUCAACUUGGCCCUACUCGGUAAGCAGGGAUGGCGGCUGUUGACAAGCCCGGAUUCGCUGUGUGCUCGAGUUCUAAAGGGCAGGUAUUUUCCGGACUCGGAUUUCAUGCAGGCCUCAGCUCCUAAACGUUCAUCUGCAACUUGGAGGGCCAUUAUAUCUGGCCGGGAGGCUUUACUCACCGGACUAAUCAAGAGGGUGGGCGAUGGAUCAUCCAUUGCGGUCUGGGAUGACCGAUGGAUUCCAUCUACAACAACAAUGGCGCCAUUGUUCAGGCCUCCAAAUACCAAUAUUUCUUGGGUAAGCGAUCUCAUCGAUACCGAAAACUGGACAUGGCGGCGGCAGUUGGUUCGGGACACAUUCAUCUCACCAGACGCGGAGGCCAUCCUCAAUAUUCCACUCCGGUCUGGUGGGGGUGAUGAUUUCCUUGCUUGGACACAUGAAACUUCAGGUAACUACACCGUUAAAUCGGCGUACCGUGCUCUUAUGAUUCGCAACGAGCGUCAAGCUCUAGAAGAAGGGACGGAUACCAGAUCCUCGAUUGAUAAUCAGCGGCUGUGGAAUGGUUUGUGGAAGUUGAAUGUGAUGCCAAAAGUGAAGGUGUUCUUCUGGCGGGUGCUACGGGGAAUUCCGCCUGAUGAGUGUACCCUUAAGCAUCGGCACUUGAGACGGAUACGACUUUGCAAAAUAUGCAUGGCGAUGGAUGAGGACAUGGAGCAUGCUCUGUUGAUAUACUCACACGCACGACAAUUUUGGGAUGAAGCUCAACAGCUUUUUGACUUCCAUAUGCCGCGACUACACCCAGAUACUUGGGCGAGAGACAUAAUCUGUGACGACAGCUUCACGAGUAGAGACCAAGCCAUCAUAGUUUCAGUUAUGUGGUCGGUUUGGCACUCUAGAAACAAGCUGGCGCAUGGGGAAGACACUCUGGAUCCUGCUUUUUCAGUUCGCAGAACCAGGGAAACACUCUCACUUCUGGAGAUCCCUCGGAGUCAUGCAAUCUUGUUGCCUGGACAUGGAUGGCGCCCCCCGGACAUGGAAUUUGUAAAAAUCAACACCGAUGCUGCGAUCCGUAGGGAGGACGGCAAGGGUGACGGGGGCGGAGUUGCUCGAUCAGCAAGUUCCUUUCAAGGUGCUUGGAACAAACCAUACCCGGGUGUGACUGACCCCCUCAUCGCGGAGACGAUGGCAGUUGGUGACGGCGUCAUCUUCGCCAAGCUACGGGAUUUUUCGAAAGUCGUGCUCGAGACAGAUUGCUUGGAGGUAGUCAACCUUUGGGCCGCUCGGCACGAUUCGCGCUCUAUUGUGGCACCCAUCUUAGUAGAAAUUGAAGAGCUAGCUGGCACUUUUACUUCAUUUGUAUUUCAGCAUGUAUCUAGGUCAGCUAACGGUCCAGCUCAUAUCUGUGCUAAGCAUGCUUGCACGAUUGAUGGAACCGAGAGUUGGCUUGACAACACUCCUAGCUUCCUGAUCAGCAGCCUAUUGGCUGACUGCUCGGCGAACGCCUUCGUUUAA
Molecule: ribosomal RNA, 1767 nt
Filed under: Triticum aestivum (bread wheat)
Lineage: Eukaryota; Viridiplantae; Streptophyta; Magnoliopsida; Poales; Poaceae
Description: partial small subunit ribosomal RNA
Source: RNAcentral